CUACUUGACUAGCUGAGAGGAGGUGCAUGGCCGUCGUCAGUUCGUACUGUGAAGCAUCCUGUUAAGUCAGGCAACGAGCGAGACCCACGCCAACAGUUGCCAGCUCGUCCUCCGGGGAUGGUGGGGACACUGUUGGGACCGCCUCUGCUAAAGAGGAGGAAGGAAUGGGCAACGGUAGGUCAGCAUGCCCCGAAUUAUCUGGGCUACACGCGGGCUACAAUGGGUGGGACAAUGGGUAUCGACACCGAAAGGUGAAGGCAAUCUCCUAAACCCAUCCGUAGUUCGGAUUGUGGGCUGCAACUCGCCCACAUGAAGCUGGAAUCUGUAGUAAUCGUGUCUCAAAAUGGCACGGUGAAUAUGUCCCUGCUCCUU
Molecule: ribosomal RNA, 372 nt
Filed under: uncultured Methanomicrobiales archaeon
Lineage: Archaea; Methanobacteriati; Methanobacteriota; Methanomicrobia; Methanomicrobiales
Description: bacterial SSU rRNA
Rfam family: Archaeal small subunit ribosomal RNA
Source: RNAcentral